CUCAAUGAAUUAAUUCAAUAGCCGCAAUUUACUUGUGCUAAGGUAGCAUAAUCACUUGUCUUCUAAUUAAAGACUAGAACGAAAGAUUUAACAAUUUAAUUACUAUCUACAAUAUAAUAAUUAUAAUCUAUCCUAAAUAUAAAAAGAUAUUUAUAAAUAAAAAAGACGAUAAGACCCUAUUGAACUUAACUUAAGUUUAACUGGGGUAGUUAAUUAAAUAAAAUUUUAAUUUAAAUUUCUAAAAAAAGAUCUAAUAUAAUUAAUUACAUGAUCAAGUUACCAUAGGGAUAACAGCGUAAUAAAUUCUUAAAGAUCUUAUUAAAGAAAAAGAUUACGACCUCGAUGUUGAAUUAAUAACCUAAUAAAUGCAAUAAUUUAAUAAAGGAAGUCUGUUCGACUU
RNAcentral lists this ribosomal RNA (400 nucleotides) under Eratigena agrestis. RNAcentral's name for it is "partial 16S ribosomal RNA". Lineage: Eukaryota; Metazoa; Arthropoda; Arachnida; Araneae; Agelenidae. The record is from RNAcentral.